RNAcentral lists this ribosomal RNA (495 nucleotides) under uncultured bacterium. Its description in RNAcentral is "partial 16S ribosomal RNA". It matches the Rfam family "Bacterial small subunit ribosomal RNA", at positions 28 to 507 of the family's 1533-position model. The record is from RNAcentral.
GACGAACGCUGGCGGCGUGCCUAAUACAUGCAAGUAGAACGCUGAAGGAGGAGCUUGCUUCUCUGGAUGAGUUGCGAACGGGUGAGUAACGCGUAGGUAACCUGCCUGGUAGCGGGGGAUAACUAUUGGAAACGAUAGCUAAUACCGCAUAAGAGUAGAUGUUGCAUGACAUUUGCUUAAAAGGUGCAAUUGCAUCACUACCAGAUGGACCUGCGUUGUAUUAGCUAGUUGGUGGGGUAACGGCUUACCAAGGCGACGAUACAUAGCCGACCUGAGAGGGUGAUCGGCCACACUGGGACUGAGACACGGCCCAGACUCCUACGGGAGGCAGCAGUGGGGAAUCUUCGGCAAUGGACGGAAGUCUGACCGAGCAACGCCGCGGGAGUGAAGAAGGUUUUCGGAUCGUAAAGCUCUGUUGUAAGAGAAGAACGAGUGUGAGAGUGGAAAGUUCACACUGUGACGGUAUCUUACCAGAAAGGGACGGCUAACUACGUG